GCCAACUGGGAGUGGCAGUUGGGUCUUGUGACUAGCACUUCCUGCCUGCCGGGGGCGGGGGGGGGGGAAGACUGGAGAGGACUGGCUUCCGGGUGUCAGAGGAGAGUGGAGCUUGUUCAGCCCAGUCUGGAGUGGCAUGCUCUUCUUGGUUCAGCCCAAAGACACAGGCUUCUAAAGGUCCCUUGCCAUGUACCUUGUUAACUGACCAAUGCGGGGAACUCUGAGAACUUUUCAAGUUCUACCUUACCCCAGCUUCUAUUGAUGCCAAAAUGUAAAGGAAUCACACCACAGUUUCAAAUGGAAACAAGGUAAUUGUUCAAAAAUGCACUUUUAAAAAAUUGUCGAAGAGAUAAAGGAUGCGUAACAAAUAAUUCUGAACUUAUAAUCUUCAAUUAUUGAAAUUAGGAAUGAAGAAAUGUGUAUACACUUAAUAAAAUAAAUGUGAUUGAAUGGGAAACUCUGAUC
RNAcentral lists this long non-coding RNA (465 nucleotides) under Monodelphis domestica (gray short-tailed opossum). Its description in RNAcentral is "lncRNA (ENSMODG00000029953.2)". The record is from RNAcentral. Lineage: Eukaryota; Metazoa; Chordata; Mammalia; Didelphimorphia; Didelphidae.